This 253-nucleotide ribosomal RNA is filed under the name uncultured bacterium. RNAcentral's name for it is "partial 16S ribosomal RNA". It matches the Rfam family "Bacterial small subunit ribosomal RNA", at positions 524 to 776 of the family's 1533-position model. The record is from RNAcentral.
CACGGGGGGAGCAAGCGUUGUUCGGAAUCACUGGGCGUAAAGGGCGUGUAGGCGGUCAGGUAAGUGGGAUGUGAAAGCCCUCGGCUCACCCGAGGAUCUGCAUCUCAAACUGCCUGGCUUGAGUAUGGGAGAGGAUGAGGGAAUUCCUGGUGUAGCGGUGAAAUGCGUAGAUAUCAGGAGGAACACCGGUGGCGAAGGCGGGUCUCUGGGCAGUAACUGACGCUGAGGAGCGAAAGCGUGGGGAGCGAACAGG